RNAcentral lists this long non-coding RNA (3477 nucleotides) under Coturnix japonica (Japanese quail). Its description in RNAcentral is "lncRNA (ENSCJPG00005003202.1)". The record is from RNAcentral. Lineage: Eukaryota; Metazoa; Chordata; Aves; Galliformes; Phasianidae.
AUGAGUCAGUGCUCAUCUCAGGGGUGUAAAAUACAGCAGAUUAGUUCAAUAUCCUUAACAGAAUGUCUCAGCUUCUUCACGGGAGAGUACAACAGUUACUUACUGGGGUUGAAUCUUUGCAGGUUUUCGACGCUGAGUGUCCUGAAGAAGAUGCUGAGAUCAUGGCAAUCAGCAUUCACUGAUGUGUUCUUCUCACUGCAGAUGCUAUGCCCUCCCUGGUCCCCUUGCAUUCCCCAGGCUCUUGUGACACCUUGUGAUCUCGGCCUAUGAAAGGAACACAGCAGGUAUGAGGCCAUACUCCAUGGCAGAGAUCUGGGAGCUUGCCCAUCUGCCUGUGGUCCUUCACUGUAGGGGUGAACAGAUGUCACUCCUCUGUGUGACUCACUUCCAUCAGAGCUCCUGUCCAGCCUGUCUACAACAAGCUAGACCCAAAUGCUUUAAUUAGAGCAUGCUACCAUUACACAGACCACAAAGCAGAGGGGAAAGAGGACACCUAUGAAGUGGUACAGGCUGUGGCAGAACACGGGCUGCUUUCCCUCUGUGUUUGAGCCUAAUUACUGUACUAAGAGUCUAUCUCCGUUGGAGUCGUGGAGCCUUAAGGCUCAGUGCUGAAAGUGGGUAAGUGCCAGCAGCAAAGCAACAGGGUACUCAAUACCAGGACAACAAAAACAUCUUCAUGAAGGCAGUGACCCGCACGACUAAUUAGCUCUGGUAGCAGCAGGACCCAGCUGUGAUGCUGAACACAGAUCUGAAGCUUGAAGAGACGCUGGGCAGCCACAAGCAGUUUGCAAGACUGUGCCAGAGGGAAUAGGGGAAAAUUCUGCUGCGGUGACAUGAAACGGCGCUCCAAAGGUGUCUCAGGCUCUCGUGCCAGCUGGCUGAGUGGUGGCAGAGCUGAGUGAUAGAAACUGAUUUCUGGGAAACAUAAAGAUAUCUAUGCUGAAUAUGGCCCGUUAUGUCCGUUUGCAGCCUUAACGUCAUGACCAUACACAGGCUCCAAUCUUCUGCCCUGUGACCCCAGUCACCUGAUGGAAGGUGAUUUCAUUAGGAUGAGAUUGAGAGAGUAUAUUUUAGAAAAUUCACUAGCUGGGAUGGAGAAACUUAUGCAUUUUCUCAUCUAUCCUUGAGCACCAAACAUGAAGCAGACAACCCAAAUGGCAGAUAUUUUAGCCUUAACUCAUUAUAACCUAAAGUGUACUACAGCCUCCAUAUUGUCUUGAAUGCUGGAGGAUGAGAAUAUAACUCUCACCACAUUUCCACAGAUCUGGUUUUCUGUACAUCAUGUUCUUCUGGGUUUCCACUUCCAUUUUCUACCUAGAGAAAUGAGAACCAUGAGGAACUUCAGUGCUAAAUACUGAUGUUUGCCCAUGCACUCCAAAUGCACCGAUAGGUUAUGAAUGAAGAUGGGUUUAGGUUAAACUGCUUUGUCAGUUUGAAGAUGACAUGCCUUUAGACUCGCAAGAUGAGACAAUUCAAACUUGGCCUUUCCACUCCAUGUACUCCUCCCUGUGUUCUCACAGAAGCUUGUGCAAUUGUCUAUUAAUGUAAAAAGGCACUUUCUUUCCUUUGAUUAUUUAUGUAAUCAGUAGGAAAAGAAACAACAUGAUGAACUAAACUCUGCGGGUCAGCCUCUGAUCACUCUAAUUUGAAUUCUGGAUGAAGAAAUAAUGUCACAGGCAGCCAAUAUCCUGAAAGAGAGAAAAUUCACAGGGAUGUUGACAGGGGACUGGCAAAGAGUUGUCACAGAAGACUUCUCUGGUUAUUUGCUGUCUUUCUCCCUAUGUGUCAUCUGGUCUUUUGCUCCUGAAUUACUAGCUUAGUCUCCCCUGCAUGCAAGGCAGAUGCCUAAUUUGUGGAUAACAACAGGAGUCAUAUCCAAAAUAGAUGCUGAUCUGUUCAGACCUGGAAAAGCUGAGAAACUUCUGUGUAUGUCCAAGAAUACAUUAAUUGCUGCAGGAAUGCUGAUGUUUGACGCUGUGAUGACCACAGAUGCUGAGGUCCCACCUGGUUUCACAAAAGCAGUAGUUUAAAGAUGCUACUUGUGAUGAACUUAAGAUUCAAAAUGAUUUAGUGGUGGUAUGGGCUUGUAAGUAAGUCUGAGCCCUUGGUGUUUCUGUGUAGCAAAGAUGGGAUCAUCUCUGCCUUGCCAGCACUGCUUGCUCGAGGGAAUGGGCUACAGCUUUGCAGUAUUCAGACUGUUGCAGCUCUCAGAAACCAACAGAAGGAGCUUCAAUUAGAAACACAAAGUCCUACACAUUGGACAGAAUCAACCCUGGCAUGGUAAAAGGCUGCCUAAGCCACAGUGUUCCUGGAGAUGCCAUGGAGGAAGAUGAUGUUGGCUGACUGUGGGCCAAUGUUGAGCUCUGGCAGAGUGUUACUGUAGUGUCCUGGGCUAUAUUAAGAGAGCACUGGGCUAUAUUAAGAGAACUCAGAAGUAAGGCUGUGCAACAUCCGCGAUUCAAGAUUUUCAAGUUCGAGCUACACAGGGCCCCAGACCUGGUUAGAUGGUGAGUAGGAAGAUGGAAUCAAAAGACAUCCAGAAGUCUCAUCCAACCAACAACUCAGUGAUUCUGUAAUUUGGACAGUUCUGGGCAUUUCUGUAAGCUGUUAUCUGCAGCACAAAAGCAGUUCCUGGCUUCUGAAAUGAUGAUGAGUCAGACCAGGAAACUAGAACAACAAAAAAAUUGGAGAGCAGAAGUUUUACUCUAAAAGCCAGUGUUCCAGAAGAGUGGAUUAACUUUGUCCAUAAGCUGGUAUAAGGCAAAACACUGUGUGGUAACCAGUACAUACAAGUGGACCAACUGUGCAUCUCUUGUCAUGUUACAAAGAUAUAAGGGAUAAUUUCAGAAGGAAUCUGCUGGAAAGAGACACUACAUGCUGCAGUAGUGAAAAGCUGCAUCUCAACUGACAGCAGAACAAAGCCUUUUUAUGUUCUGAAAUUAUUCUUAUAGAGACCAGGCAGCUGCUCCGUAUGGGGAGCUCCAUUCAACUCUUGACAGUGGUGGUGCUCUGGAUUAAAAUUGUAACAAGACAGAAGAAAAUACCUUGAGGAAAGGAGUCUACAUUAAUUUUACUGUUACUCGGUUUGGGAGUGAGUAGUGUGAGUAGUGCUGAAGUCUCAGUCUUGCAGUUAUCCAAUAGCCCCCAAUUUGCUCUGCAGCAAAGAAGUCUGCUGUCAGCACACAUACACACACACACCACCUUUCAGAUACCUGCUAGCACAUCCAGCUUCCUGUGUGAUUAACACAUUCCUCCAGAGUGGGCAAAAGUAACAUUUCCAGUUUUCACUGUACAACAAAUCUCUGGCUGUAUGGGCUGGCUGCUGCAAUGAGAGCAAGGAGUGCAUUGCCAUGUCGCCUAAUCUUGUGUAUCAAACCAAACAGCAGAUGGAAGCUAUGGUGAACACACAUCAAUAUGCAUGGAUAUGAAACCUAAAAGAGAAAUAAACUUGUAGAUCUCCAUGGAUCUACUUAAAUA